Non-coding RNA from Chlorocebus sabaeus (green monkey), 149 nucleotides. It matches the Rfam family "Metazoan signal recognition particle RNA". Rfam says of the family: The signal recognition particle (SRP) is a universally conserved ribonucleoprotein. The record is from Rfam. Lineage: Eukaryota; Metazoa; Chordata; Mammalia; Primates; Cercopithecidae.
GCUGGGUGUGGUGGCGCACACCUGUAGUCCCAGCUACUCUGGAGGCUGAGGCAGGAGAAUCGCUUGAACCCAGGAAACGGAGGUUGAAGUGAGCCGAGAUCUCUGCCACUGCACUCCAGCCUGGGCAACAGAGUGAGACUCCGUCUUAA